AGCAGCCGCGGUAAUUCCAGCUCCAAUAGCGUAUAUUAAAGUUGUUGCAGUUAAAAAGCUCGUAGUUGAAUUUCGGGAUCAAUUUAUUGGUCGUGCUAUUGUACGUACUGGUAUUAUUGAUUCCUACCUUCUGACGAACCACGAUGUCAUUAAUUUGGUGUCAUGGGGAAUCAGGACUGUUACUUUGAAAAAAUUAGAGUGUUUAAAGCAGGCUCACGCUUGAAUACAUUAGCAUGGAAUAACGAAAUAGGACGUUUGAUUCUAUUUUGUUGGUUUCUAGGAUCGACGUAAUGAUUAAUAAGGAUAGUUGGGGGCAUUAGUAUUCAAUUGUCAGAGGUGAAAUUCUUGGAUUUAUUGAAGACUAACUACUGCGAAAGCAUUUGCCAAGGAUGUUUUCAUUAAUCAAGAACGAAAGUUAGGGGAUCGAAGACGAUCAGAUACCGUCGUAGUCUUAACCAUAAACUAUGCCGACUAGGGAUCGGAUGAUGUUAAUUUUUAAUGACUCAUUCGGCGCCUUAAC
RNAcentral lists this ribosomal RNA (520 nucleotides) under uncultured Glomus. Its description in RNAcentral is "SSU rRNA". It matches the Rfam family "Eukaryotic small subunit ribosomal RNA", at positions 569 to 1092 of the family's 1831-position model. Lineage: Eukaryota; Fungi; Glomeromycota; Glomeromycetes; Glomerales; Glomeraceae. The record is from RNAcentral.